Molecule: ribosomal RNA, 1423 nt
Filed under: metagenome
Description: bacterial SSU rRNA
Rfam family: Archaeal small subunit ribosomal RNA
Source: RNAcentral
GUUUAUCCCGCGGGAGGUUGCUGCUAUCGGGAUUCGAUUAAGCCAUGCAAGUCAGAUCGCAAGAUCGGCGACAUGCUCAGUAACACGUCAUCAACCUGCCCUUAGGUCAGGAAUACCCUUGGGAAACUGAGGUUAAUGCCUGAUAGGAGAAGAAUUCUGGAAUGAAUUUUCUUCUAAAAGCAAUGCCUAAGGAUGGGAUGGCGGUUGAUUAGGUAGUUGGUGAGGUAAAGGCUCACCAAGCCCAAGAUCAAUAGGGGCCUUGAAAGAGGUAUCCUCGAGAAGGACACUGAGAUACUGGUCCUAGCCCUACGGGGUGCAGCAGGCGCGAAAACUUUACACUACACGAAAGUGUGAUAAGGGAAUCCCGAGUGCUUAUGCAAUGCAUAGGCUUUUGCCAAGAGCAAAUAUCUUGGAGAAUAAGUGGUGGGCAAGACUGGUGCCAGCCGCCGCGGUAACACCAGCUCCGCUAGUGGUGACCGAUUUUAUUGGGCCUAAAGCGUCCGUAGCUGGUUAUGUAAAUCUUUUGUGAAAUCGUUGCGCUUAACGCAACGGCUUGCAGGGGACACUGCAUAACUUGGAACAGGGAGAAGUCAAAAGUAUUCUUGGGGGAGCGGUAAAAUGCUAUAAUCCCAAGAGGACUACCUAUGGCGAAGGCAUUUGACUAGAACUGAUUCGACAGUCAGGGACGAAAGCCAGGGGAGCAAACCGGAUUAGAUACCCGAGUAGUCCUGGCCGUAAACGCUGCGAGUAAGGUGUUGCAUAUUCCUCGUGAAUGUGCAGUAUCGAAACGAAGGUGAUAAACUCGCCGCCUGGGAAGUAUGGUCGCAAGGCUGAAACUUAAAGGAAUUGGCGGGGGAGCACUACAAGGGGUGCGGCGUGCGGUUUAAUCCAAUUCAACACGGAGAAUCUUACCAGGAACGACGGCAGGAUGAAGGUCAGUCUAAAGGGCUUACCUGACGAGCCGAGAGGUAGUGCAUGGCCGCCGUCAGCUCGUGGCGUAAGCUGUCCUGUUAAGUCAGGCAACGAGCGAGACCUGUGCCUACAAUUGCUAACGACUCAUUCUGAGGAUUGAGAACAUUGUAGGGACUGCCUUCGAAAGGGGGAGGAAGGUGCAGGCAACGGUAGGUCUGUAUGCUCCGAAUUUUCUGGGCUACACGCGCGCAACAAUGGUAUGGAUAAUGGGCUGCAACUCCGAAAGGAGAAGCUAAUCCUCGAAACCAUACUUUAGUCCAGAUUGAGGGUUGUAACUCACCCUCAUGACGAUGGAAUCCCUAGUAAUCAGGUUUUAUCAUAGCCUGGUGAAUAUGUCCCUGCUCCUUGCACACACCGCCCGUCAAACCACCCGAGCAGGGUUUAGAUGAGGCUUGAUUUAUAAUUAAGUCGAAUCUAAGCUCAGCGAGGAGGGUUAAGUCGUCACAAGGUA